Molecule: microRNA precursor, 97 nt
Filed under: Saimiri boliviensis boliviensis (Bolivian squirrel monkey)
Lineage: Eukaryota; Metazoa; Chordata; Mammalia; Primates; Cebidae
Description: miRNA (ENSSBOG00000018351.1)
Source: RNAcentral
CUGGGAUUACAGGCUUGAGCCACCGCGCCCGGCUCGAUUUUAAGUUUUAUAUUAAAAGCACAGGCCAGGAGCGGUGGCUCACGCCUGUAAUCCCAGC